GGGUUUUCAUUAAGAGGCGGCCGGCGGCCAAAUUGGCCGCCUAGAACACGUUUUGGGCCGGCUAGAAAUCCCGUAGAUACCAUAAAUGAAUACUUGGAAACUGCUUUGGGGGCUCGAAAGUUUACGAUUCGCUCCUUUCGGUAAUUUUAUGCAUUUCCGCUAAUUGCGGUUCACUUCCUUGGCGGCACUUAAACAUCCAAUAUGGCGACCAAAAAACGAAAAAUAGAUCGCAAAAUCGACGAUUUUUUUAAUUUUCAACCGAAAUCAAUUCAAUCUCAACACGCAUUUAUAUGAUAGCUGGAUUAAAAAGGAUUCCACUCAAGAUGUUCCGCCUAGCAACCAGCUGCACUCCCAGUCAGCAAAAGUUACAGUUAAUAUAGUCAAGAAGUCUUCGCAAGUAUGAUGUCGACUCUUUGAAUUGAUGAUGUUUGACUAUGAAAUUUGAUGAUGUUUCACUAUGAAAUUUGAUGAUGUGUGACUAUGAAAAAUGAUGAUGUUUUGUUUAUUUAAAUUGAUGAUGUCUUGCUGUGAAAUUUGAUGAUGUUUUACUAUGAAAUUUGAUGAUUUUUGACUAUGAAAUUUGAUGAUGUUUAACUAUGAAAUUUGAUUAAGUUUGACUAUGAAAAUUGAUGAUGUUUUGUUAAAUUGAUAAUGUUUUCCUAUGAAAUUUGAUGAAGUUUGGCUAUGAAAUUGGAUAUGUUUUACUAUGAAAAAUGAUGAUGUUUUACUAUGAAAAUUGAUAAUGUUUUGCUUUGAAAAUUGAUGAUGUUUAACUAUGUGAAAGUUGUAGUGAUGAAGUUUUGCUAUGAAAAUUGAUGAUACUUUGCUUUAAAGAUUUAUGAUGAAAAAUUAUGAUGCUUUACUAUUUGAAGUGAUGAUGCUUUACUAUUUGAAGUGAUGAUGCUUUACUAUUUGAAGUGAUGAUGUUUGACUAUGAAAUAUGAAGUUUGAAAUGAUGCUGCUUGACUUUGAACAAUGUUAAAAUGUGAUCAUGUGAGAGUAUGUAAAAUGAUGAUUGUUGGCUAUGAAAAGUGUUUAUGUUUGGCUUUGAAAAUUGAUGAUGUUGAUUAUAAAUAAUGAUGAUCAAG
Ruditapes philippinarum (Manila clam) is the source of this 1088-nucleotide long non-coding RNA. RefSeq lists it as uncharacterized. The record is from RefSeq and is a predicted model, not a curated record. The transcript has 3 exons. NCBI's taxonomy places the organism in Eukaryota, Metazoa, Mollusca, Bivalvia, Venerida, Veneridae.